CCUACGGGAGGCUGCAGUGAGGAAUAUUGGUCAAUGGGCGGGAGCCUGAACCAGCCAAGUCGCGUGAAGGAAGAAGGUACUUAGUAUUGUAAACUUCUUUUGGCGGGGAACCAAGGCGGAGACGCGUCUCCGGAUGAGUGUACCCGAAGAAAAAGCAUCGGCUAAAUCCGUGCCAGCAGCCGCGGUAAUACGGAGGAUGCGAGCGUUAUCCGGAUUUAUUGGUUUUAAAGGGUGCGUAGGCGGAUCGUUAAGUCAGUGGUCAAAUUGAGGGGCUAAACCCCUGCCCGCCAUUGAAACUGGCGCUCUUGAGUGGAAGAGAAGUAUGCGGAAUGCGUGGUGUAGCGGUGAAAUGCAUAGAUAUCACGCAGAACCCCGAUUGCGAAGGCAGCAUGCCGGCUUCCGACUGACGCUGAAGCACGAAAGCGUGGGGAUCGAACAGGAUUAGAUACCCGAGUAGUC
This 459-nucleotide ribosomal RNA is filed under the name uncultured bacterium. RNAcentral's name for it is "partial 16S ribosomal RNA". It matches the Rfam family "Bacterial small subunit ribosomal RNA", at positions 338 to 795 of the family's 1533-position model. The record is from RNAcentral.